Molecule: non-coding RNA, 30 nt
Filed under: Homo sapiens (human)
Lineage: Eukaryota; Metazoa; Chordata; Mammalia; Primates; Hominidae
Source: RNAcentral
CGGAAGGUCCUGGAAGAAGGGCGGGAGAGA